Molecule: ribosomal RNA, 253 nt
Filed under: uncultured bacterium
Lineage: Bacteria
Description: partial 16S ribosomal RNA
Rfam family: Bacterial small subunit ribosomal RNA
Source: RNAcentral
UACGUAGGUGGCAAGCGUUGUCCGGAGUUAUUGGGCUUAAAGGGUGCGUAGGCGGUUCCAUAAGUCAGUGGUGAAAUCCAAUAGCUUAACUAUUGAGGUGCCAUUGAUACUGCGGAACUUGAGUACAGACGAGGUAGGCGGAAUUGACGGUGUAGCGGUGAAAUGCUUAGAUAUCGUCAAGAACACCGAUAGCGAAGGCAGCUUACUAGACUGUAACUGACGCUGAGGCACGAAAGUGUGGGGAUCAAACAGG